RNAcentral lists this ribosomal RNA (501 nucleotides) under uncultured bacterium. RNAcentral describes it as "bacterial SSU rRNA". It matches the Rfam family "Bacterial small subunit ribosomal RNA", at positions 28 to 516 of the family's 1533-position model. The record is from RNAcentral.
GAUGAACGCUAGCUACAGGCUUAACACAUGCAAGUCGCGGGGCAGCGGGAGUGAAGCUUGCUUCACUUGUCGGCGACCGGCGCACGGGUGAGUAACGCGUAUCCAACCUUCCCAUAUCCACGGGAUAGCCUGCCGAAAGGCAGAUUAAUACCGUAUGUCGUCAUCAGUUGGCAUCAAAUUUUGACGAAAGGUUUAGCGGAUAUGGAUGGGGAUGCGUAACCGNUUAGGUAGUCGGCGGGGUAACGGCCCACCGAGCCCUCGAUCGGUAGGGGUUCUGGAGAGGAAGGUCCCCCCACAUUGGAACUGAGACACGGUCCAAACUCCUACGGGAGGCAGCAGUGAGGAAUAUUGGUCAAUGGACGCAAGUCUGAACCAGCCAAGUAGCGUGCAGGAUGACGGCCCUAUGGGUUGUAAACUGCUUUAUAAGGGAUAAAGUGAGCCUCGUGAGGCUUUUUGCAUGUAUCUUAUGAAUAAGGACCGGCUAAUUCCGUGCCAGCAGCC